AUGGCCGCACGGGCACCGCAACCUCGCUCAGCCCAAGAUGGCCGCCGCGCCACCACCCACCGCCUCAACCCGCCCUCAACAAAGAUGGCUGCUCGAGCCGCGGCGGUGGGCGGAGAUCGAGGGGAGAGGGGAGAGGGGAGGGGGCAGCGCCCUUACCCAAAAUGGCGCCGCGAAGCCGGGAGGGGCGGGGUCGGGGCGGGGAGGCGGGGUCGGGGCGGGGCGGGGGCAGCGCCCGGCGGCGGAGCGGAAGUGGCGCGGUGCCUCCUCCAGCUGGUUGUCAUUUCGUGCGGCGGCUCGCUCCUGAGGAGACCGGGCUCGGCGGCGGCCGGGCGGGGAGCGGCGGCGGCGGCAGGAGAACAAGAAGAAGGAGAAGAAGAAGAAGGAGAAAGGAGGAGGAGAAAGGAGGAGGAAGGAGGGAGGCACCGGCUGCGGCACCGAGGAGGCAGCGUCCCCCCGCCCGGCGCCCGGCUGGUUUACAUGAGGGGGAAGGAAGCCCGCCUGGAGCCCAGAAGACGCUCAGCAGGGGAAGGACUGCUCCCAGGAGCCGCCACCGCCGCCUCCUCCUCCGACCCCCGAGCCCCGGUUAGUCCGCACGGCUCCCCCCUCCGCGGCAGCCGGCGGCCGAGCCCCUGCCCCGAGAUCUGCGGGAGAGCCGCUUAAACGCCUUCCAUGGGGGAGAGAGGAGCCCGGCCCCCCGCCGCCUGCACCUUCCCCUCCUCGCCGGAGGCUGCUCCUCUGCUGAGGUAAAAGAAACAAAAAGGAAAAGAAAAAAAAAAAAAAAAAAAGUACCCCCCCCCCCGGACGCGGCAGCCGGCGGCCGAGCCCCUGCCCCGAGANNNNNNNNNNNNNNNNNNNNNNNNNNNNNNNNNNNNNNNNNNNNNNNNNNNNNNNNNNNNNNNNNNNUGAGGUAAAAGAAACAAAAAGGAAAAGAAAAAAAAAAAAAAAAAAGGCUACCCCCACUGCAGGACGCUCGUGAGGGUGGGGGGGACACCGCGGGGGGAACCCCACAGUGAGCCGGGGCCUGGAGAGCCCAGCCUGCCAGCACCCAGCCCAGCCUGCCCGGCUGGAUGAGGAGACCCUGAAGGGGGGAAAAAAUAAAUAAAUCACCACGUACACGCACAUCCAGCCUGCCCGGAGGGAACCCACGGAUCCGGCACCAGGAGCACCCUCCCGGCUGCAGAGAGAGAGAGAGCAAAGAAAAUCGCCUUCCCCUUCCUCCCGCACAGCUCGCUGUCCCCUCCCUUCCCUUUUCCCGAACGCUGAAUGCUGAUUUCUGAGAUGAAAAUCUUCCUCCGCGGACGGCCAGGGCUCAUGUGAAGGACACGCAAAUAUUGGAUCAUAAAUAAGAAGCGAGUCUGGCGAGCUCAGAAACCCAGCCCAAAAGGAGCAGCAUCAAGAAUCCACCCUUCUCCUGCACAACUCACUCCCCACCCAACACACACAGAAUACUAAUUUCCUGAGAUAAGAUCUUACCCCUUCUAAACAACCACACGCGCACACACACACACACACGGAGUGUAUAUUAUUGCUACACAUAAUAGGUUAAACACAGCAGCACGGUAAAAAGCCUCCUCUGCAACUCACGCCUCUUUUUCACCCCUCUGAAUGCUGAAAUCCUGAGGUAAAUUUUUUUCUUACCCACAGCAAAGACUCUUUUUGAACAGGACAAAUAUAUAUUAGAUUAUAGAGAUGUAUUAAAUUAUUCCAGAUUUAAAUCUAUUUUUUUGCUGCCAAGGGGUCGGGGGACCAGACGUCAUUGUAUAUUUUUUUUCCUCUUAACUCAUUUAUGGGCGAGUCAAGGCUGCUGAGGAGGAAAAAAACAGGAUAGUUAGAAUCUCUUUAUCCUUAUUCCCCAGAAGCUUUUUCUCUCAUUGCUGUGCGUUUCGUUUAGAAAAAGGAAACCUCUUAUUUUGUGAACCAAAGAUUUAUUUUUCCCUUUCUCCUGGCUGAAGGGAGGAAACGGGCACCAAUUGACACAUUUAAAUAGUUGAAGAAAUCUAUCUUUUGCAGAAACAGAAGUCUAUAUCCAAAUCUGAAAUAAAUAGCGUGGAGGGAGAAACUGGAAUAUCUAGCUAAAACCAGGAUACUUAAUAAUCUCUCCUCGGAAGAGGAAGAGGUAAACACUAAACAUCGACUUGUUCUUACACAGAGGAU
Molecule: long non-coding RNA, 2154 nt
Filed under: Cairina moschata (Muscovy duck)
Lineage: Eukaryota; Metazoa; Chordata; Aves; Anseriformes; Anatidae
Description: domestica (muscovy Duck (domestic type)) lncRNA (ENSCMMG00000014688.1)
Source: RNAcentral